This 501-nucleotide ribosomal RNA is filed under the name uncultured bacterium. Its description in RNAcentral is "partial 16S ribosomal RNA". It matches the Rfam family "Bacterial small subunit ribosomal RNA", at positions 30 to 523 of the family's 1533-position model. The record is from RNAcentral.
AUUGAACGCUGGCGGAAUGCUUUACACAUGCAAGUCGAACGGCAGCACGGGGGCAACCCUGGUGGCGAGUGGCGAACGGGUGAGUAAUACAUCGGAACGUGCCCAGUCGUGGGGGAUAACGUAGCGAAAGUUACGCUAAUACCGCAUACGAUCUACGGAUGAAAGCGGGGGACCGUAAGGCCUCGCGCGAUUGGAGCGGCCGAUGUCAGAUUAGGUAGUUGGUGAGUUAAAGGCUCACCAAGCCGACGAUCUGUAGCUGGUCUGAGAGAGACGACCAGCCACACUGGGACUGAGACACGGCCCAGACUCCUACGGGAGGCAGCAGUGGGGAAUUUUGGACAAUGGGCGCAAGCCUGAUCCAGCCAUUCCGCGUGCAGGACGAAGGCCUUCGGGUUGUAAACUGCUUUUGUACGGAACGAAAAGGCUCUGGUUAAUACCUGGGGCUCAUGACGGUACCGUAAGAAUAAGCACCGGCUAACUACGUGCCAGCAGCCGCCGUAA